GAGACUAUAGCUCAAUGAUAGAGUGUGUGCCUAACAUGAACAAGGUCCUGGGUUCAAUCCCCAGUACCUCCA
This is a transfer RNA of Camelus ferus (Wild Bactrian camel), 72 nucleotides long. It matches the Rfam family "tRNA". From Rfam's summary of the family: Transfer RNA (tRNA) molecules are approximately 80 nucleotides in length. Their secondary structure includes four short double-helical elements and three loops (D, anti-codon, and T loops). NCBI's taxonomy places the organism in Eukaryota, Metazoa, Chordata, Mammalia, Artiodactyla, Camelidae. The record is from Rfam.